Molecule: ribosomal RNA, 491 nt
Filed under: uncultured bacterium
Lineage: Bacteria
Description: partial 16S ribosomal RNA
Rfam family: Bacterial small subunit ribosomal RNA
Source: RNAcentral
GUGAACGCUGGCGGUAGGCCUAACACAUACAAGUCGAACGGCAGCACAGUAAGAGCUUGCUCUUACGGGUGGCGAGUGGCGGACGGGUGAGGAAUGCAUCGGAAUCUACUUUUUCGUGGGGGAUAACGUAGGGAAACUUACGCUAAUACCGCAUACGACCUACGGGUGAAAGCAGGGGAUCUUCGGACCUUGCGCGAUUGAAUGAGCCGAUGUCGGAUUAGCUAGUUGGCGGGGUAAAGGCCCACCAAGGCGACGAUCCGUAGCUGGUCUGAGAGGAUGAUCAGCCACACUGGAACUGAGACACGGUCCAGACUCCUACGGGAGGCAGCAGUGGGGAAUAUUGGACAAUGGGCGCAAGCCUGAUCCAGCCAUACCGCGUGGGUGAAGAAGGCCUUCGGGUUGUAAAGCCCUUUUGUUGGGAAAGAAAAGCAGCAGGUUAAUACCCCGCUGUUCUGACGGUACCCAAAGAAUAAGCACCGGCUAACUUCGUG